Molecule: ribosomal RNA, 1509 nt
Filed under: Lactiplantibacillus plantarum
Lineage: Bacteria; Bacillati; Bacillota; Bacilli; Lactobacillales; Lactobacillaceae
Description: bacterial SSU rRNA
Source: RNAcentral
CGGUGGCGGCUCGCUAUACGUGGAAGUCGUACGAACUCUGUGGUAUUGGUUGGUGCUUGCAUCAUGAGUUACAUUGUGAGUGAGUGGCGAACUGGUGAGUAACACGUGGGAAACCUGCCCAGAAGCGGGGGAUAACACCUGGAAACAGAUGCUAAUACCGCAUAACAACUUGGACCGCAUGGUCCGAGUUUGAAAGAUGGCUUCGGCUAUCACUUUUGGAUGGUCCCGCGGCGUAUUAGCUAGAUGGUGGGGUAACGGCUCACCAUGGCAAUGAUACGUAGCCGACCUGAGAGGGUAAUCGGCCACAUUGGGACUGAGACACGGCCCAAACUCCUACGGGAGGCAGCAGUAGGGAAUCUUCCACAAUGGACGAAAGUCUGAUGGAGCAACGCCGCGUGAGUGAAGAAGGGUUUCGGCUCGUAAAACUCUGUUGUUAAAGAAGAACAUAUCUGAGAGUAACUGUUCAGGUAUUGACGGUAUUUAACCAGAAAGCCACGGCUAACUACGUGCCAGCAGCCGCGUGUAAKRSGUWGUGKGSCAWGGGCUCKUGUGUCCAGCGAUUUUUAUCUSGGCGUAAAAGCGAAGCGCAGGGCGGUUUUUUUUAAGUUCUUGAUGUGAAAAGCCUUCCGGCUCCAACCGAAGAAAGUGCAUCGGAAACUGGGAAAACUUGAGUGCAGAAGAGGACAGUGGAACUCCAUGUGUAGCGGUGAAAUGCGUAGAUAUAUGGAAGAACACCAGUGGCGAAGGCGGCUGUCUGGUCUGUAACUGACGCUGAGGCUCGAAAGUAUGGGUAGCAAACAGGAUUAGAUACCCUGGUAGUCCAUACCGUAAACGAUGAAUGCUAAGUGUUGGGAGGGUUUCCGCCCUUCAGUGCUGCAGCUAACGCAUUAAGCAUUCCGCCUGGGGAGUACGGCCGCAAGGCUGAAACUCAAAGGAAUKGACGGGGGCCCGCACACAGCGGUGGAGCAUGGUGGUUUAAUUCGAAGCUACGCGAAGAACCUUACCAGGUCUUGACAUACUAUGCAAAUCUAAGAGAUUAGACGUUCCCUUCGGGGACAUGGAUACAGGUGGUGCAUGGUUGUCGUCAGCUCGUGUCGUGAGAUGUUGGGUUAAGUCCCGCAACGAGCGCAACCCUUAUUAUCAGUUGCCAGCAUUAAGUUGGGCACUCUGGUGAGACUGCCGGUGACAAACCGGAGGAAGGUGGGGAUGACGUCAAAUCAUCAUGCCCCUUAUGACCUGGGCUACACACGUGCUACAAUGGAUGGUACAACGAGUUGCGAACUCGCGAGAGUAAGCUAAUCUCUUAAAGCCAUUCUCAGUUCGGAUUGUAGGCUGCAACUCGCCUACAUGAAGUCGGAAUCGCUAGUAAUCGCGGAUUUCCCAUGCCGCGGUGAAUACGUUCCCGGGCCUUGUACACACCGCCCGCCCCCCCCUGAGAGUUUGUAACACCCAAAGUCGGUGGGGUAACCUUUUAGGAACCAGCCCGCCUAAGGGGGAACCCAGAGGCUA